This 356-nucleotide long non-coding RNA is filed under the name Capsicum annuum. RNAcentral describes it as "long non-coding RNA (CANN_LNC019756)". The record is from RNAcentral. Lineage: Eukaryota; Viridiplantae; Streptophyta; Magnoliopsida; Solanales; Solanaceae.
GCUGUUUACUGUGUAUGGAGCUGACCAUCAUAGCAUUGUAGACUGUUGAAAAUUAUAUUAUUUAUACAUGAUUAAAAUUAUUUUUUAUAUAUUAUUUUCGUUUACUUCUAAACCCCUCUAAGAUAAGAACUCCACCACUGGUUGAAAGUUUCUUCAUUGUGAUUCUGAAGUUUUAUGUCUGCUACAAAGCUUGGAGUACAGCUUUUCAUUAGAAACAUAUUUUUUUAAAGUUUCAUAUAUCAGUGUAUGCCACUUUCUGCAACUAGCACUCCAAAUAUCAGCAUAUGCCACUUUCUGCAAUGAGUACACAACAUUCUUUAGUAAAGGGCAGAAUAGUUUGCUCUGUGCUCAUUGCG